GGAUGUGAGGGUGGCCUGGCUGUGACAUCCGUCACCCCAUUGAUCACCAGUGUUGAUUCGGCUGAUCUGGCUGGCUGGGCAGGUGUCCCCAUCCUCCCUCACUGCUCCCCGUGCGUCCCCCCCAGAAGCUGCGUGCUCCAUCGAAGGGGACGACCUUCCCCCCCGAAAGAUGAGGACGGUUCUUCGGUCAAGGGUACACGAAUAGCUGCGCUCCCCUGCUGCAAUCUCCAAACACGCUUUCAAGCUCCAAAAUUCCUGUUGAAGCCCCAGUCCCCAGUUCCUCAGAAUGUGGCUGCAUUUGGAGAUAAGGCCUUUAAAGAGGUGAUUAAGUUAAAAUGAGGCCAUUGAGGAGGCCCUGAUCC
RNAcentral lists this small nuclear RNA (362 nucleotides) under Microcebus murinus (gray mouse lemur). Its description in RNAcentral is "7SK RNA (ENSMICG00000025203.3)". The stretch from base 1 to 310 matches the Rfam family "7SK RNA". Rfam says of the family: 7SK was discovered as an abundant small nuclear RNA in the mid-70s but a possible function has only recently been suggested. Two independent studies have found that 7SK RNA binds the CDK9/cyclin T complex (known as elongation factor P-TEFb). The record is from RNAcentral. Lineage: Eukaryota; Metazoa; Chordata; Mammalia; Primates; Cheirogaleidae.